Molecule: long non-coding RNA, 1514 nt
Organism: Marmota monax (woodchuck)
Lineage: Eukaryota; Metazoa; Chordata; Mammalia; Rodentia; Sciuridae
Exons: 3
Source: RefSeq, a predicted model, not a curated record
AAUUAGCCUCGGCAACCAUAAUAGCAGUAGUAACUAAUAUCAAAACAGCGUUUCAUAAAGCAGUUUUCUGCCUCUGCGCUUCACAACGUCCCUAUGAGCAUAGUGCACUAUAUGGCCAACCAUAUUUUAUAAAGACACCCUAUUUUGUGGAGGAAUCAAGAAGGUAUGAAAAGCGCUGUAUUUUUUUUUUCUCUAAUGGAAUAUUUCAAAUAUUCAGAAAAGGGGAGACAGUAGUAUACUGGAACCUCAUGUAUCCACCACAGUGCUCAACAAUAAACGAUACCUCCUAAAAAUUUUAGAGACCUCCUGCCUCAGGCUCUCCAGCAGCUGGGACUACAGACACGUGGGACUAUAUCCAGCCAAAAAAAAAAAAAUCAACUUUACUAAAGUACAGAUUCUGCAGUGACUUGGGAGACUGAGGCAGGAGGAUUGCAAGUUCAAGGCCAGCCUCAGCAACUUAAUGAGGCCCUAAGCAACUUAGUGACACCCUGUCUCAAAAUAAAACAAAAAGGUUGGGGAUGUAGCACAGUGAUAAAGCAUCCCUGGGUUCAACCCCUGCUACCAAAAAAAAAAAAAGUUGCAAAACUGAUGAAUACAGCAUUAAUCUGUGAGAACUUCUGGAACCAUGAAGUGCAAUAUGGAGAACAGAGCGACACUGAACACCUGACACAACUGGGGAACAAAUGCUUCAUUGUGCCAGAGUCUGUCACAUUUCAUGCCAUCCGAGGGAAGGGAUUUGACAAAUUAAUUGACUUGUCUUUUCUCUUUUCCAAGUGAUCUGCCACUCAACAGCAUCUGUCUUGCAUAUCAGCAGUGGAAGGACCUGCUGAAAAAUCACUUGAAUGUGAUAUCAUCGUUUCUUUGGAAAUGUGGAAGAACACGUUCCUGAAGCCUAAAUGGGUUUAGUCAUAAAUGGACAUUUAUAGGGUUAUGGGUGGAACAGUGCCAACACAGAGUGGCCAGAUCCCAAAUGACACGUGUGACUUUACAAAGACCUCAUGCAUGUGCUUGUGAUAUUUGGAACCCUCUAGACAACUCUCUAGACAACAACCCUCUAGACAACAACCAGGAUCAAGGGGCUGCUUUCUAGAAGGAAGGAGGAUUCCAAUCUAGUAUAGAGGAACAGCAGUGAUGAGGCCACAACCUCAGAGCUGGGGCCUAAGGAGACCAAAGGAACAGAAGUCAAUGCUCCAGGUAAACCCUCAAAGACUGGCAGACAAUAUUUAAACCUGCUAGGAUUUGAAUACGGUUUGUGCUCUGUAUCAUUGUCUUUUGUCUUCCAAACACAAAAUACUAUGUCACUUUAUACAGAAAAGAGGUUUGUUUUGUCUUGUUUUGUGUUGUGUUUUGGCUCAUCUUCUGGUCCAAGGUCGAGGGCCUACAUCUGGCGAUGGCCUUCUUGCUGGAAUAGUUCCAAGGUGGCUCAGACUAUCCUCAUGUCACAUGGCAAGAAAGAAGAUGAGGGGCUGGGGUUGUGGCUCAGCGGUAGAGUGCUUGCCUAGCAUGUGUCUCAG